RNAcentral lists this ribosomal RNA (453 nucleotides) under uncultured Paraprevotella sp. RNAcentral's name for it is "partial 16S ribosomal RNA". It matches the Rfam family "Bacterial small subunit ribosomal RNA", at positions 341 to 792 of the family's 1533-position model. The record is from RNAcentral. Lineage: Bacteria; Pseudomonadati; Bacteroidota; Bacteroidia; Bacteroidales; Prevotellaceae.
ACGGGAGGCAGCAGUGAGGAAUAUUGGUCAAUGGGCGUAAGCCUGAACCAGCCAAGUAGCGUGAGGGAUGACUGCCCUACGGGUUGUAAACCUCUUUUGUUUGGGAAUAAAGUAGACUACGUGUAGUCUUUUGCAUGUACCUUUCGAAUAAGCAUCGGCUAAUUCCGUGCCAGCAGCCGCGGUAAUACGGAAGGUCCGGGCGUUAUCCGGAUUUAUUGGGUUUAAAGGGAGCGUAGGCGGGCCUUUAAGUCAGUGGUAAAAGCGUGUGGCUCAACCAUACCACGCCAUUGAAACUGGAGGCCUUGAGUGCACACAGGGAUGCUGGAAUUCGUCGUGUAGCGGUGAAAUGCUUAGAUAUGACGAAGAACUCCGAUCGCGAAGGCAGGUGUCCGGGGUGUAACUGACGCUGAGGCUCGAAAGUGCGGGUAUCAAACAGGAUUAGAUACCCUGGUA